CAGCCUGGUCUCACAAACAAAACGUACAUAUUUACACGUAAAUUAAAACAGUCCAAUACGUAUGUGCUUUUACGUAUUUAUAGUGCCUUUACGUAUUAUCUGGACGUAAUUGCAGGAUCGAUACGUAUCUAAAUGUACGUAAAAUGUCCUAAAAUACGUACAGAUUAAACGUGUUCUGACCAGUAGUUAUCCAGUAACAUUUGCUUAUGAAGCCGCUUUUUUAUGAAGCGCUUUUAAUGCGCAUUAGAUUUAAUACUCCGUUUAAAACACUUUGGCACUUUAAUACUUACUUGCUACAGAGCAUUAUACACUUUACGAUGUAAUUCCUUUUUAUUUAAAAUAAUGAUCGGACAAAACCAGAACAGAUCGCGUUCCCGACCGGACUCAUUUCAGCGUUACAACAGAUUUACAAUUUCAGCGACGGUGUUGACAUCUCUUCUCCAGAUCAAACUAACAUAAUAUGCUGCAUACCGAUUCAUAUUAUUCAUCUGAACCGUUCUCUAACUGAAUCCAUAGAGCUGUUUGGACGGCCAGACCAACAUCCAAAGGUCGCUACGAACUACCAUUGCCCCAUCUUCACUCUGUGCAAUGUAGAGAAACAUGGAUACCAGGUGUGCUAGAAAUGCAGAAGAGUGGCUACUGGCCUGCAACUGUAAACUUCUGUACCAUUUAUGAUGAGGAAGUCUUUGUGUCCUUCGAAGACUUGAAAAUGGCUGCUCCAGGAUUGUCCCGUUUAGCAUUCAUAAGAAUGCUUGACAUGAAGACAGUGCACUAUGGCAGAACUCAGCUGAAUCUAAAGAAAGACACCGAAAGCCUACAAGAACCUACAAUGAAAAUGAACUGGUUGUAGAUGAUGGUCACAGAUGUUCAGGAGUGGGCUCACACUACAACUGUAGGAGACAGUGAUGUUGCAAUUCAGACAACAAGGAACACAAUAGAAGAAUUAUCUUUGUGCAUUAAACAACGGCAGCAUCGUCUUUAUAGACACACUGACUCAGCUGAAUCUAAAGAAAGACACCGAAAGCCUACAAGAACCUACAAUGAAAAUGAACUGGUUGUAGAUGAUGGUCACAGAUGUUCAGGAGUGGGCUCACACUACAACUGUAGGAGACAGUGAUGUUGCAAUUCAGACAACAAGGAACACAAUAGAAGAAUUAUCUUUGUGCAUUAAACAACGGCAGCAUCGUCUUUAUAGACACACUGCCACAAUCAAAGGACGGAAUAAAAUAAGAAGAAAAAUCAAUGAGGAGAAAAAGAAGCUUGCUUUUGCCAUUGAACACCACAAUGCCCUUGUUGACCCCACCCAGAAAAAUUAACCCCUGGAAUCUUCCAGAUGAUGGGAUUCAAGGACUUCAAUGUGUGUUGAAGAGAAAAUUACAUCAGUUAAGAGCUCACCAGGGCACUGUAAAAACAAGUUAUCAGACAAUAGACAUCAUAAACGAACAUAUUACUGUUGAAGAAUGUAAAUAUCCCAGCUGGCCAUAAGACUCAGAAGCCCUUUAUUCAAGCAGUGCUGAUCUGAGCUCUGAUGAAGAUGAUACAUGUCUGCUGUAGUUAUUUACUAAAUACGUUGCAGUUUUUUUUCUUUCACUUUAUCUAUUACUCUUCUUUCUCCAUCAGUCUUCUCUUUUUUUUAGUUUUUCGCUCUGAUUGCAUGUGUGCUUGCCUUAUACCAUGGGAGAUGAAAUAUUAACUUUUUAAUAAAGGAUGGAUUAAAAUGUUAAUUUGGGUUUUUCUGAUGGGAUUUACAGACAUAUAUCCUGUGCAUUUUUACAGACAUGUCCUACAGUGGAUUGCUGGGAUUGGGGGCUGUAAGAGUAGUUUUGAGAAAUGUUUCUAUUUUGUGUGCAACAGAAGAUUAUUUCCAAAUCUAAACAGUGAUAAAUAAAAAGUAAUUAUAUGUA
Misgurnus anguillicaudatus (oriental weatherfish) is the source of this 1904-nucleotide non-coding RNA. The record is from RefSeq and is a predicted model, not a curated record. Lineage: Eukaryota; Metazoa; Chordata; Actinopteri; Cypriniformes; Cobitidae.